RNAcentral lists this ribosomal RNA (408 nucleotides) under uncultured bacterium. RNAcentral describes it as "partial 16S ribosomal RNA". It matches the Rfam family "Bacterial small subunit ribosomal RNA", at positions 28 to 526 of the family's 1533-position model. The record is from RNAcentral.
GACGAACGCUGGCGGCGUGCUUAACACCUGCAAGUCGAACGAAGUGGCGACCGGGUGAGUAACGCGUAAUCAACCUGCCCUUCAGAGGCGGACAACAGUCGGAAACGACUGCUAAUACCGCUUACAGAAGGAGGGGAUUGAGUCUGAUUCGCUGGUUGGAGGGGUAACGGACCACCAAGGCGAUGAUCAGUAGCCGGUCUGGUAGGAUGAACGGCCGCAUGUGGACUGAGACACGGCCCAGACUCCUACGGGAGGCAGCAGUGGGGAUUCUUGCGCAAUGGACGGAAGUCUGACUGCGCAACGCCGGGUGGGUGAUGACGGCCUUCGGGUUGUAAAGCUCUGUUAAGCGGGACGCGGUACCGGAAUAGAAGGCCACGGCUAACUACGUGCCAGCAGCCGCGGUAAUUC